This 393-nucleotide ribosomal RNA is filed under the name uncultured bacterium. RNAcentral's name for it is "partial 16S ribosomal RNA". It matches the Rfam family "Bacterial small subunit ribosomal RNA", at positions 523 to 918 of the family's 1533-position model. The record is from RNAcentral.
AUACGGAGGAUGCAAGCGUUAUCCGGAUUUAUUGGGUUUAAAGGGUGCGUAGGCGGUUUGCUAAGCGGGAGGUGAAAUGCCGGCGCUCAACGUCGGAAGUGCCUCCCGAACUGGUGGACUGGAAUGACUCUGCCGUGGGAGGAAUGUGUAGUGUAGCGGUGAAAGGCUUAGAGAUUACACAGAACACCGAGUGCGAAGGCCUCUCACGAAGGGUUGAGUGUCGCUGUGGCACGAAAGCGUGGGGAUCAAACAGGAUUAGAUACCCUGGUAGUCCACGCAGUAAACGAUGAUGGCUAACCGCUGGUUUAUUCGGAUCAGUGGCCAAGCGAAAGCGAUAAGCCAUCCACCUGGGGAGUGCGACCGCAAGGUUGAAACUCAAAGGAAUUGACGGUG